Molecule: long non-coding RNA, 2303 nt
Organism: Manis pentadactyla (Chinese pangolin)
Lineage: Eukaryota; Metazoa; Chordata; Mammalia; Pholidota; Manidae
Exons: 3
Source: RefSeq, a predicted model, not a curated record
CCAAGAGAUGCGGUGGGGGGAGCGCCCAAUCUCUGUCCAUCCUUUUGGCGUAAAGCUCGAGCCGCUUCUGGUCCAGAGGUCCUGACCAGACGGGAGGGCACGGCUUCCGCCUCGAUUAAUUCUCCUACGGAAUUAUCCUACAAAGAUGGACAGAGCUCCCUCCUCCUUGCUUUUUUCUUUCUUUUUUAAAUUAGCCCUUUGCAGAGCUCCCCUGUCUCGUACUUCUAAGCUUCUUGUUACCGGGAACGAAUGCCUAGAGACACCUUGCUCCGAGACCGUGGAGGGAGGCCCUCAGGGACUAAUACUUCGUCCAAACCAAAGCUGGAGAAUCUAAGCUCUGAACAGAAGAACAGAGAUCGCAUCAGUGAACCUGCCUGGCUUUGGUGAUUGGGUAAAGUCUCAUAAAACACUCAGCUGGAUGACAGAGCAGCAGCAACAGAUGAUGAUGAGAGAAAUGGGGUUUCUAUUGCAUAGGGCGCAACUGGAUAUUUCCUCCACGCUCUGUUGCUGGGACCUGGCAAACGAUGUUUCCUGGCACUCCAGAGCGGCAAGUCUCGGCAGCGAGGUCAAAUCCAUUUUUGGAGCCAAACACCAGCAUUCCUUUACAGCUGAGUUCUCCAACCUCCAAGGAAGCUCUUGCCUGUCUAGAGUGACCUCUGCUGGCAACCAAAGAGAGUGGCCCAAUUGUGCAGCCUAUGGAAGAAUCACCCUGGAAAUAUCGGACUCCUGUCACAACAAAAGCCUCUUGAUUCUUGCCCUCACUAAUUGCCCUGUGGUUGAUGAUGACAGGCAUGGCUGACAACAUGAGCAAGCUGAAGUUAUUCCACUUGCUAAUUAGAACUGUGAAGUAUGUUUUCGUGUAAAACAUGAAGCCAUGUUUUGAAUACGUUUGGAUGUGCCCAGCCUCCUGGCCUUGGCAGUGGUUGUCCCAAAUUAGAAUGACAUGUCUACCAGGGGUACAGCCUGCCUGGCUACAGGAUGCCAGGGAGAUAUUUACUCUUUUGAGGGGCCUUAAUACUUUAUAGGAGAAAUAAUGGUAAUAACCUACAAAGUGUUUUGAGAUCUUUGGAUGAUUGGCAAUACAGGUAUGUAUGUUCAAGGGACAAUGUCUGGACUAUAUGGCUUGAUAAGUUGUUAAUAACUAGGGGAAAGGGUCCAUAUGGGAUUGCUAAGGUGAAGAAAGGGAAAACAAAUGUGAAUGUCUGAAAGGUUAUGAUUUAUAAACAUUUUGCAGCACUUGCACUAUGCGUUAUCUUAUUUUGUCUCACUUUCACAACUCUGUUCUGACAACAAUAUCAUUAUCCCAUUUUUCCAGAUGAGGACAUUUAGUCACAAACAGGUGCUACCACAUGUCAGAGAUUACACAGUCACUUAGAAAGGCUGGCACUGGAAUCAUCUCUUUGGCCAGAAGUCCUGUUUUUAUUUCACUGGGUCUCUUGGGUCAGCCCUCCAAAUCUCAAGCUGGAGAAGUAAAAGAUAACACCUUUAUUUCUCGUUUUCACUCACCUCUCACUGCCAGUCCAUCGGCAAGAGGCAACCACACAUCUCUGCACUGCCCCAUUGCUGCAGCGUGUGGUUUCUCCCUGUGGCAAAAAUCUCAAGUCUGUCCAUCCCCACAGCCCCUCUGUCUACUUCAGCUCACUAUCCUAGGCCAAGGUCACUUAGAUGGUAGCAACAGGCUUCUGAAAUUGUUGUUAAAUAUUUAUUUGUUUAGGUUUGUCAUCUACCUUUCCCCCACAACAUUGUAAGCUCCAUGUCCUUUUAAACUCACAAAGGCACCGCCAGGGCCUUAGCCCAUGUGAAAAUUGAUAAAGGGCAGCCUCACUCACCUGGAGUUGGGAGGCCUGCAGGGGGAGCUCUCAUGCCCUGCCCCUCCUGGUCAAUUGCAGACUCCACAGGAGGCAGAGACAGUUUACAGACCAGACUGUUUUGGCUACUUUACCACCCAGUAGGAGGAGGGAAGUGUUUCUGCUUCCCCAGCAACAUCCCAGCAACGCCUAGCCAAUGAGAGACUGUUACAACUCAGUCAACGAGCAGCCACAGAGGUAUGGGACCCUUCUUCCUCCAAUGGACUUUUUGCUUGGAACAGUCCCCCAACUCCCCCUUUCUUCUGCAAAAGUGACUCCUCUCCUUUAUUCUACGGAUGUGUUGUAGUUUUGCCAUUGCUGGCCUGUGCCGUGUUGCAAUUCUCUGCUGUUGAUCGAAUAAACCUAUUAUGCUGGUAAAAUAACUGACAGCUUUAUUUUUAAGGUUAACACCCAUAAUGCACAUUCAAUAUAUGUUUGUGGGAUGAAUGAAUUAAA